RNAcentral lists this non-coding RNA (23 nucleotides) under Arabidopsis thaliana (thale cress). Lineage: Eukaryota; Viridiplantae; Streptophyta; Magnoliopsida; Brassicales; Brassicaceae. The record is from RNAcentral. RNAcentral also lists the same sequence under 3 other names.
UGACUGAACGCCUCUAAGUCAGA